CAACCAGACUCCUACGGGAGGCAGCAGUGGGGGAUAUUGGACAAUGGGGGGAACCCUGAUCCAGCGACGCCGCGUGAGUGAAGAAGUAUCUCGGUCUGUAAAGCUCUAUCAGCAGGGAAGAAGAAAUGACGGUACCUGAGUAAGAAGCCCCGGCUAACUACGUGCCAGCAGCCGCGGUAAUACGUAGGAGGCAAGCGUUAUCCGGAAUGACUGGGCGUAAAGGGUGCGUAGGUGGUUUGGCAAGUUGGUAGCGUAAUUCCGGGGCUCAACCUCGGCGCUACUACCAAAACUGCUGGACUUGAGUGCAGGAGGGGUGAAUGGAAUUCCUAGUGUAGCGGUGGAAUGCGUAGAUAUUAGGAAGAACACCAGCGGCGAAGGCGAUUCACUGGACUGUAACUGACACUGAGGCACGAAAGCGUGGGGAGCAAACAGGAUUAGAUACCCUCGUAC
This 450-nucleotide ribosomal RNA is filed under the name uncultured bacterium. RNAcentral's name for it is "bacterial SSU rRNA". It matches the Rfam family "Bacterial small subunit ribosomal RNA", at positions 328 to 793 of the family's 1533-position model. The record is from RNAcentral.